This 1997-nucleotide unclassified non-coding RNA is filed under the name Dimorphilus gyrociliatus. Its description in RNAcentral is "dgyrCDS5724". The record is from RNAcentral. Lineage: Eukaryota; Metazoa; Annelida; Polychaeta; Dinophilidae.
AGUAUAUAGAAUACUACCAAUAGGAACGCCACCGUCCAUUGACUCUGACACGAUCUCACCUGGAUUUUUAUGUGUAUUUUGUCUUUGCUAUUUGAAUAUACUACUAUUAGAUAACGAAAAUGAGUCUUGACAGUGGAAGUGGAUUGAAAUGUCGAAAGAAAGCAGUUGAUAAAGAACAGGUCGAGCAAAUUAACGAGGAAAUUGAAGAUAGAAACUCCAAAGAGACUCGUUUAACCUUAAUGGAGGAAGUGUUGUUGUUAGGAUUGAAAGAUAGAGAGGGCUACACAUCUUUUUGGAAUGACUGCAUUUCUUCUGGACUUAGGGGUUGUAUCAUUAUUGAACUAGGAUUAAGGGGGCGUGUUGAGCUCGAAAAAACAGGCCUAAGGAAAAGAAGCUUACUAAAUAAAAAACUAUUAUUUAAAUCGGAUGCCCCAACUGGUGAUGUUCUCCUAGAUGAAGCCUUGAAACAUAUAAAAGAAACUGACCCUCCCGAGACUAUACAAAGCUGGAUAGAAUACCUUUCUGGUGAAACUUGGAAUCCUUUGAAACUCAAAUAUCAACUUAGAAAUGUCCGAGAGCGCUUAGCAAAGAACUUAGUUGACAAAGGAGUGUGUACUACUGAAAAACAGAAUUUUGUGCUCUUUGAUAUGACUACACACCCUCUAACUGAUUCGAAUGUUAAGCAAAAACUAAUAAAACGUGUUCAGGAAUCUGUUCUUUCGAAAUGGGCCAACGAUGCUCAAAGAAUGGACAAACGAAUGCUGUCUUUGUUGUAUUUGGCUCAUGCCUCAGAUGUCCUGGAAAAUGCUUUUGCUCCUUUGGCCGAUGAUGAUUACGAAUUGGCUAUGAAGAGAGUCCGAGAUUUACUGGAUUUAGAUUUUGAAGCAGAAGGAGCAAAAGAUGGAGCUAAUGAAGUAAUGUGGUGUGUUAUAUCGGCCUUUUCUAAAUGACAUUCCUGCAUUUUCCGUUUAAAGACGUUACAGAAUAAUGAAACAAAAAGAAAGAGCUUUUAUUAUAUAAAUAUGGGGAUUUUCUUCUUUUUUCGUGUUGAAAAUGGUUAAAAUACUAAUAAUAGAUUGGACGCUAACCUGUGAUAUUUUAUGUUUCUUUCGUUAAAAAAUUUUUUAUUUGGUAAAGCUGCAUAUUUAAUUAGAAUUUUAUCUUAACAAUUCUAUAUGUAAUUUUAUUAAUAGCGAAUAUGUGUAUCAUUAAUCAAUAAAAGGUUUGGUUAAUUUGUAGCUUUUUUUCAUUUUAGUAAAAAGACUUUAGAUUCUUCCUUCUCACUGGAAAUGAUUAUAGAUGAGUCUAUAUUCUCUUUUUGGUCAGCUGUUAAAUCUGCUUCGUGAUAUAGUACCGCCCAAGUUUCAUCUGUCAUUGCGUUCAAAAAUAUACUUAAUGUGAUAAUAGCCUAGUUUUAUUAAAGGCCAUAAAAGAUAUCUGAGCUAUAAUGAAGUCUAAACUUUAAAUAACCAACCUUUUUCUAUUUUAUCACCUUCAUCUUUUAAAAUUUCUAUUCCAACUUUAUAAUCCAGCUGAUCCUCUACGCUAAACCUUCCGGCGUGAUGUUCUCUUAGCACUUUUGCUAGGGGAAGACCCCUAAUUACGUUUACAAUUCCAUUUGAAUUGCUUUUUAUUUCUGUUUUUCUACUAGCCAGCUUGAGAACUUCUCUAGGGUCCUUCAUAAGCUGAGAUGCUAAUUUAGCGUCGACACCUUGCUUGAUAAUCAUCAAACGAAACUUUUCAGCCGCCGAAUUAUCAUUUAAAGUAGAUCUCAUCAUUUUUUCUGCUUCUUCAAAACAUUUUGCAAUAUUUGUCGAUUGAAGGAGACAAGCUCCCAAUUUACAAACAACAUCUAUAAGAUCCUUAGGCCCUUUGCCGUUUAAAGUGUCAACCGCUUCUAACACUUCAAUAGCAUUUCCAAUGGUUUUUCCAAUAGGAGAGACCAUCUUGGUCAUGGCAGCAAUGAUAUUCAUACCAAGUUCUUUUCCAACAUCAAU